Molecule: transfer RNA, 72 nt
Filed under: Figites sp. ZJUH 20220009
Lineage: Eukaryota; Metazoa; Arthropoda; Insecta; Hymenoptera; Figitidae
Description: tRNA-Cys
Source: RNAcentral
AGUUUAAUAGUAUAAAAUUAAAAUAUUAAAUUGCAAAUUUAAAGUUAUAAAUAUAUAAAUUUAUUUAAACUU